This is a non-coding RNA of Arachis ipaensis, 1252 nucleotides long. NCBI's taxonomy places the organism in Eukaryota, Viridiplantae, Streptophyta, Magnoliopsida, Fabales, Fabaceae. The record is from RefSeq and is a predicted model, not a curated record.
ACAUACAGAUUUAUUUAUACAGAUUGAAGGAGAUUGUGACAAGUGGCAUGAUAGAAAACAGGCUUUGCAGAGCUCUGUGACUUUGUCUGGGCUUGCUAGUUGAACGGAGCCGGCUAAUGAAAUAAAGAACCAAGGGUUUUAUGGAACAAAGCACUGCUGUAAUCCCUCUUCUCUGGUCGCCGUCGUCGUGUUCCGUGCUGCUGGAGUUCGGGCCUUGUUCUUUCUGCUCUGCUCUGCUCUGCUCCGUCGUGUUCAUCUUCUCGGGCCAUUUUGAAACCUCUACUCUGGUAGGCAUUCAGAAACCUUUGCUCUGCUCCGCCGUGGUGCCUUGCUCUGUCCUCUCAGGCAAAUUGACAACUAUUCGCCGUUCACAUCUUUCUCUCAAGCCUCUCGCAUCACACUCGAUCCUUAGAGGUACACAAAAAGCAGAACAAUGAUGUUGCUCUCUGUGCACCCGGGACGGUGGUGACCACACAGUAAAGAUGGUUGAUUCUGAAACUUGAAGUUGCGUAAAGGUGCUAGUUGGCCAUAGAAUGACGCCUUGGGUGAAUCUUUGCUGAAUUCCUGGAAGCUGAUUCUUUACAACAGGUAUCACUUCUUCUCCCUCAAUAAUUGUCGAAUUUGAUAUGUUAAUCCACUAAAGUGAAUUAUGAAUAUUCCUAUUUGGUUUCUAGUUACAGUUGUUACUAUCUAGUGUUUGUCACUAAUAUUUGUUUGUUAGGAGAUAGACUAACUGGAGAUAUAGAGCCUGUGUUUAUGUCUUAACUUCUAAAGCAUUGUGAAUAUCAAUGCAACUUCAGUUGUAUGCUUGGAUAAGUUUCCUUUUUUUAUUCCCAUACCAUUUAAGGUGUCUCAAUUAUUUUACUUCUGGAAAGAAUUAAAUUCUAUAGGUAGUACCCGAUUUCAUUAUUUUCUUGCAAAAAUUCAUCAGUGUUGCUCGACUUCCAUGGAUACUUAUCCCUCUUGUUUCCCCUUAUAUGAGUCUGCAUUUUCUGGGUAGAUCGAUUGGAAAAUGUCGUGGAUUCUUGGACUUCAUUAUACCUCGUGGUAGCAGAAGUCUGACCUGGAAGAUGAUGUGAGUGCUUCUGUAUGCUUCUUUCUCCUUGCCUUUUUGUAACUUCAGUGAGAACUUGUUAUUUGACUUUGAGUUAUUAAUGUAUCAGCAUGGGACAUCAAACUUUCAAUUAUUUAACAGUACUCUUAUAAUUGUGUGUGCAUAUGACAAUAAUACAAGACGGUGGAUAUUGGGUCA